UACCCGUGGCUCGAGUGGUGACCAUUAUUAUUGAGUCUAAAGCGUUCGUAGCUGGUUUGGAUAGUUCGUGCUUAAAUUGUUCAGUUUAACUGGACAACAUGGUGCGAAUACUUCCUGACUAGAGGCCGGGAGGAGGGCUGGGAACUUUUCGGGUAGGAGUAAAAUCCUUUAAGCCGAAAAAGACCACCAAUAGCGAAGGCACAGCCCUAGAACGGACCUGACGGUGAGGGACGAAGGCUAGGAGAACGAACCGG
RNAcentral lists this ribosomal RNA (254 nucleotides) under uncultured organism. RNAcentral describes it as "partial 16S ribosomal RNA". It matches the Rfam family "Archaeal small subunit ribosomal RNA", at positions 474 to 727 of the family's 1478-position model. The record is from RNAcentral.